CUGCCGGGAGCGGCGCCCGGGGCCGGCAUCUGGCUGAUGGCCUGGUGGUGUUCCGGGUUGAAGGCCUGGCCGGUCGG
This 77-nucleotide transfer RNA is filed under the name Stenotrophomonas maltophilia. RNAcentral describes it as "tRNA-Ile". Lineage: Bacteria; Pseudomonadati; Pseudomonadota; Gammaproteobacteria; Lysobacterales; Lysobacteraceae. The record is from RNAcentral.